RNAcentral lists this transfer RNA (88 nucleotides) under Dehalococcoidia bacterium. Its description in RNAcentral is "tRNA-Ser". It matches the Rfam family "tRNA". Rfam says of the family: Transfer RNA (tRNA) molecules are approximately 80 nucleotides in length. Lineage: Bacteria; Bacillati; Chloroflexota; Dehalococcoidia. The record is from RNAcentral.
GGAAGGAUGACCGAGUGGACGAAGGUGCGUGCUUGGAGAGCACGUGAGCAGCAAUGCUCCGUGGGUUCGAAUCCCACUCCUUCCGCCA